Long non-coding RNA from Diachasmimorpha longicaudata, 942 nucleotides. RefSeq lists it as uncharacterized. The transcript has 2 exons. Lineage: Eukaryota; Metazoa; Arthropoda; Insecta; Hymenoptera; Braconidae. The record is from RefSeq and is a predicted model, not a curated record.
GGAAAAGUCGGGCAAUUUUUCUUUCUGUUGGAAUUUUUUUUUGGCGGGAAAUUGGGGUUAGGAAGAAAGUUGGAAGAGGAAAAACAUCGUGAAAAUGUUCACUUACGUCAAUUUUUAGUUGAAAUGUUAAUGUAUUCAAGUACAAUGAUUCGUAUUAUUCGUCAUAUUACGAUUCAAUUUAUUUUAAUGGGGUAACAAUUGUGGAAUAUAUUUACCUUAAUUGAUUUUGGCGAUUAAUGAGCACUUGUCGCUCUGUGAUGGUGAGAGGGAAAUUUUACGUUUUUUUCGAAAGAUCGUGGGGGGUAGAAUGAAAGUAAUAAUGGCUCACAUAUAGUUUAAUUUAUGUUGAAAUCAACAAACAAGUGUCAUAAAUACCCAUUGAAAAAAGACAAUAAAGUUGGAGUCUUUCGACUAGCGAAUUAUCUAAAAGUCAGUUUCAUUUAUUUCAAUAUUAAUGUAGUAUGAGUGGGUUAAAUAAUUUGACUCUAUAGAUGUUCGGUCUGAUAUAAAAAUUGUAUGUCGUACAUAAUACUUUUUAUCAUUAGGCAGCCUUUGUACAUCAAUCGAUAUAAACCUUAACGCUACAAUGUAAACAUAAAAAAGCAGCUGAUUUUUUUGGCAUUCUUAGACAUAAAUUUUCUUUUAAAAAGUUCUAAACAAAGUCACAACUUAAAAUUGUUUGUUGUACAUUCUUCAGUGACUUACUUAAGCACAGUGAGUCUACUAUGUCAGUUUUAACACAAAAUCGUCUUAUUUUUGUUUUUUUUUUUAAUUUUGAUUGCAUUUUUUCUAUAUAUAGAAUUGUCAAAAGCUCCUCCAUGACUUCAAAGUCACUUUCUAUUACUUGAGUUAUGUCUGUGUACUGAUAAUUGAUCUUCGAUAAUUUUUUAGAUUUUAAUCUUCGAAUUCUCUUCUUGAUGAAUAAAAAAACCGACGCAAUUU